GCGACAUCAGCCCGCCGACGUCCGGCCCCGUCCUUCCGGGAUAAGCGGGGGAGGCGGGGCGGAGGCGGGCUUGGGACUGGCUGAGGCUCCGGUGGGUGGGUGGGUUCAGACUAAGGGGACUGCGGGUCGGCGUUGGGCUCAGUGGGCUCGAACGAAGGACUCUCGGGCAGCGAGUCGGCGCGGCGCCUCCUGACGGGUAGCAGGGUGGCGGGUCGCGGCUUCCCGGCCAGCCAGUGCCCUCCCCGCGCGGUCCCAGUCGGCUUCUCCUCGGAUCCCUGUGGCCAGCGCCGCGGUGCGGGCCCCGCGCAGAGGCACCUGCUGCUGAGGGACCCCGAGGCCCGCCCAGGUGCUCGUGAUGGGGCUGAUCUUCGCCAAACCGUGGAGCCUCUUCUGUAACCAAGAUGUCACCUCUAAUAAAUCUAUGACACUCCCAACUCCAUCUCAGCAUCUCCUUGGAGGACCCAACAGACACACAGCAAUUACUUUUGGAUUGGUUAAAUCCUUUUGAUGCUUUUAUUUAAGCUCUUUUAUGGCAAAUCUUGCAGUCUCUGAUCGAUGGCUAAUCUAGCCCCAUUUAUUAGAUGUGACCUUUCUAAGGAAUCUCUCUAAUGUCCUAUGUAUUAACAAGUUCUCUCCACUCUGGCUGGAGGGAAAUAAAAUGAUUCCUGGUGCAGUAGGCUAUGGGAAUUGUUUGUCUCACAACACCGUGGUAAUUGUAUUUUUCUUAGAACGUGUCCUUGCCUGGUCUCAUAAGGUUUCAACACCUACAAACGUGCAGAUGUGUAUUUAGCCAAAGACUCAAGGGGAACCUUUUCCAGAUUUGGGGAACUCUUUCCCUACAUAGCUCCCUCUUUUGGGGAAGUGUGUCCUGCAAAUUCUAGCCACCUCAGUCUCCUUGAAUGCCAGUGUUGGUCCCCUUAAGUCAAUAAAAUUGUCAAGUGUUUUUUGGAUUCCUCUUUCUGCACUGCAGUUUGGAAGUUGCCUUCAGAUGAAAGCCUGGAAUGAGGUAGGGUGCAUCUCAUUUGUUUUUCUUCUCUCAGGAAUCCAGGCCUGUGCUGCCUGUUGUUCAACAUCUUGUCCAGUUUUCUAGUUGUUUCCUGUAGAAGUAUAAUUCUAGACUCUGUUACUUCCUAAGGGUUGGAAGCACUAGUCUUGAAUUAUAAAAAUGCAGACCCAAAUGGCUUAAUAAUGAUUUUCAUCAAACAUUUAAGGAAGCAAUAAUACCAAUCUUGCACUAAUUCACUAAUUCCAUAAGAAAACAGAUAAAGAGGAAUCACCCCUAGUUUGAUAUGGCUGACACAAUUCUGGAUACAGACACUUCUCAGUGACAUUACAAGAAAACUAUGGACCACCAUCCUUGGUAAAAUCAUGCAUUAAAGCUUACUAAAAUACUAGCAAACCAAUUUCAGCAAUCUCUAAGAAGGAUAAUGCAUCUUGUCCAACUGGAGUUCAUCCUAGGAGCCCAAGGUUGGUUUAAAUUUCAAGUUAACCAAUGUAAUACAUACAGAACAGAUUAAAGAAGAAACAUCAUACAAUCAUCUCAACAGAUGUAGAAAAAAUAUUUGUUCAAAUAAAUAUCCAUCUCAUAAUUAAAACUGUCAGAAAACUAGGAAAAGAAGAGAACUUCCAGAAUCUAGUAAAGAGCACUUAUGAAAAACUUACAGUUAAUAUUAAGCUUAGGAAUGGAUUAUUAAAUGGCUUCCUUCUAAAUUUAGUGAACUGCUAAGAAUGCUCAGGCUUACUAUUUCUAUUCAACAUUGUACUGUAGGUCCUCAUCAGUACCACAGGGUAAGAAAAAGAAAUGAAAGCAAUAAAGUAUGCAAAUGUAAAAGUGAAAUAUCUCAUUUAAAGAAGGCAUGUUUUAUAUGUAGGAAAUCUAAAGGAAUAUACCAAAACAAAGAACAACAGCAACAACAAUAAAACUUAAUAAAUCAGUAAUUCAAAGUCAGUAUCUAGAAGUCAAUUGUGGCUACAUAUAUUAACAAGCUGGACAAAGAAAAUUUAAAAAUCCUACUAUCUACAAUAGCACCAAAAAUAUGAAAAGCUUAGAGAUAAACUUAAUAAUAAAUGGAUAAGACCUUUAUACUAAAAUAAUAAAACACUGUUUACAGGAAUUAAAGGAGGUAACUAAAAUUUUAAGAUAUAGUACAGCCAUGGACUGGGAGACUCAAUAUUGCUACGAUGUUAGUUCUCACCAAUAAAAAUCCCAGCACUCUAUUUAAAGAAACAAUAAGUUUAUUCUAAAAUGUAUUUGAAAAAGAAAAUGAUCUGGAAUAGCCAAAACAAUUUUUUAAAAAGAAGAAAGUUAAAAGGACUUACUCUGACAUCAAGACUUUAUUAUACAGCUACAAUAAUCAAAGGCCAGGUGGUACAAGCACUAGGACUUAAAAUAUAUGAAAGGAAAGAAUACUCUAGAAAUAAACUGACACAAAUACAAUCAGAUAAUUUUUGAUAAGAUCAUCACAGCAAUUUAAUUCAAUUCCACAAGUGAUGGGACAAAUUGAUAUCUAUAUGGAAGAAGAUAGACCAUCAGCCCUUACCUCAUAUUAUAAACAAAACUUAACAUGAGAUGGGUCAUAGAACUAAUUUAAAAAAAGAAAGCAAAAUAUACAUAUCAUUUUUAGGAGAAAAUACAGGGAACUAUCUUCACAACCUAGGAGAAGGCAAAUAUUUGAGAGGUCAAAGAAACAAUGAUAAAAGAAAAAAAAUUAUAAACUGGACUUAAGUUAAAAACUUGUGCUUAUUAAAAGACACCAUUAAAAUGAAUCAUCAAGCUACAGACUAGAGGAAAUAUCUGCAAUACCCACAUCAAACAAAAGAAUUCUCUUCGGAAUACGUAAAGAAUUCCCAUUAUUCAAGGAAAAAAAAUCCAUUAAAAAAGGGUAAAACAUUUGAACAGACACCCCUGAAGAAGAUAUAAAAAGCACCUGAAAAAGUUCUCAAUAUAAUUAGUCAUAAGAGAAAUCUAAAUUAAAACUGCAAAGAUAAGACUACCAUUCUUCAGAAUGCUACUUUGGAAUGACCAAAAUGAAACUACUGAUAACACCAAACGUAGAGGAGAAUGUGGGGCAGUCACAUUUCUCAUACAUUGUUGGUAAAAGUUUUAAAUAGUAUGGUAACUUUUAAAAACUGGCAGCUUCUUAAAAAGUGAAAUAAACCUGCCUUAUGAAUGAGCAACACCAACUGCUAGGUGUUUACUGAAGAGAAAUAAAAAUAAACCUCCACAAAAAGCUUGUUACAAGAAUGUUCACAGUAGCUUUAUUCAUAGUAGCCCCAAAGUGGAACAUUUCAAAUGUCUAUCACAGGAGAUAUGUACACAAACUAGUGUAUUCAUACAAUUGAAUACUAUUCUACAAUUAAAAUAAACUAUUUAAGUAUGCAAAAACAUGUAUAAAUCUGUGAGACAUUAAGCUGAGUAAAAGAAAGUAGAUGUGAAAAAGGUCCAGAAUGGACAAAACUAAUCUAUGCUGGUAGAAAUCACAGCAGUGAUUGCCUUAGUGAGAGGGGCUGACUUGGAAGAGGCCUGAUGGAACUUAAUGGGUUAAUGGAAGUGUCCUUCAUCUUGAUUAGUGUGAGAGAAACACGGGCUUGUAUUUCUGCCAGAAAUCAAAGAACUUUACACUCAAGAUCUCUAUGUACAUUUAUUUACAAAGCACAGAGUGGAUUCUUGGUAAAGUAAUAGCGGCCAAUUGCUCUACAGGCACAAGGGCCCACAAGGAGAGGAUUUACAUGGGGAGUGUUAUUCAAAACUAAAAUUCAGAAUUUACAGGCAUGGAAGUCAGUCAUGUAUAGGCCCUUCAAAGAUCUCAGGCCUUUAAAAAUAAAUCCUUAAUAAGAUGGCUAGUAUCAGAAAAAAAAAAGACAAAAAGAAAAUAAGAUGUGGAGAAAUUGGAACCCUUGUGCAUUGUUGGUGAGAAAAUGUAAAAUGGUGCAGCCACUAUGGAAAACAGUAUAGCAGUUCCUCAAAAUAUUAAACAUAGAAUUAAUGUGUGAUCCAGCAAUUCUACUUUUGCAUGUAUACCCAAAAGAACUAAAAGCAAUGGCUCAAAUAGAUAUUUGUAUACCCAUGUUCACAGUAGCAUCAUUCAUAGUAGCCAAAAGAUGGAAGCAACCAGAGUGUCCAUUGACAGAUGAAUGGACAAGCAAGAGGUGGCACAUAUAUAUAUUAUAUAUAAUGGAAUAUUAUUCAGCCUUCAAAAGGAAGAAAAUUCUGACACAUACUACAACUGGGUGAAACUUGAGGGCAUUACACUGAGUGAAAUAAACCAGUCAGAAAAAAGACAAACACCAUAUGAUUCCACUUACCUUAGGUACCUACCAGUAGUCAAAUUCAUAGAGACAAAGCAGAAUGGGGGGGUCAGGUAUAGCUCAAGUGGCAGAGUGCAUGCUUAGCACGCACAAGGUCCUGGGUUCAAUCCCCAGUACCUCCUCCAAAAAAUAAAUAACUAAACCUAAUUACCUCCCCUCCAAAAAAAAAAAAGAAAAAAAAAGAGACAAAGUAGAAUGUUGGUUGUCAGAGGCCAUUACUCUUUCAUGGGCAUAGAGUUUUAGUUCCGCCAGAUGAAGGGUUCAUUAGUUGAAUGGUGGUGACAGUAGUACAACAAUGUAAAAGUACUUAAUGCCAUGAAACUAUACGCUUAAAACGGUUAAGAUGGUAAACUUUAUGUGUAUUUUACCUCAAUUAAAAAAAAAAGAUCUCUAAAAACAUUCAAAGGCGUUAACUACCUAAGUCCACUGGACUUUAUCUAUACAGACUCACCUAGGUAACUACGACUUGGAAAAAUUCUCCCUGUUGUCCAUAGUUCUUUUCCUUGUUCCAACUUGUGGAUCAUAUCGGGCUUAGUCAUGUGAAAGCCUGAAAAUAAAAAAUAAGACUCGGUGUAAGCUGUUAGGUUUCAAAAGUAUUGAAUUUUUAAAAUUUAUUUUUAUUUUUUAUUUUUGGUAUAUAUAUAGAUUUUUUUAUUGAAGUAUAGUCAAUUUACAAUGUUUUGUCAAUUUCUGGUGUACAGCACAAUGCUUCAGUCAUACAUGAACAUACAUAUCAAAACUAUCGAAGAGAAAGAUACAGCCUCAAGGUGGCAGACAAGGUACACACGAACGUCUUACCAAAGUUAGGCAAGUGAGAACAUCACUGCGCUUUCUACGAACAAAAAGGGAUUCAUCCCCUCUGAUCUUUGAAAUUCAAAGUUCCACAUGUUUCAGAAUUUCUUGAAAGGAGAUGCGUAACAUUGAAGGAUUCAAGGAAUUUUGCUUACCCACAGAGACGAAGUGACAAUAGUUUUCCAACAUGACAUCCCUGUAGAGGGCCUUCUGAGCAGAGUCCAGUUGCUGCCACUCCUCCUGGGUGAAGUCCACAGUCACAUCCUUGAAUGACACUGAUCCCUGUAAGGGCACACUCUAGUUCAUCCUAAAGUAAUUGGAAUGAGUGAGAACUAGACAUUGGAGACCAUGUUUAGUGGUCAGAAUAGUUUUUUACUUUGUGUUUUGUAUUGCAGAAAACUUUCUCUGAAAAUAUAUUCAUCUAUAUUUACUUAUUAUCUCAUGCUAAAAAUAUAUGAGCUCAUACUAUCUACCUUGAAUGUGGUUGGCUGCUUGGUGCACCAAAAUGAUUAAAACCCUGACCUUGCUUAUAAGAAGUUACAAGCUAAAAGAGAGGCAAAAUGUAAAUACAUACACUGAAUAGAUAUUACAGAAGCAAUGACAGAAUUAUGUACAAGGGAAUAUUCUACAAAGUAAAGAAAAUUUCAUUUUGUAUUCCAAGACUUCAUUGAGGACAUAAAAAAUUUGUACUCACAAUGAAUUUGUUUUAUAGGACUACAUGACACUGGCUUUUAAAAUUCAUGGGGAGAGUAAACCCAGUUAGCAAAUUCAGGAAAUAGCAAAAGGUACAAUGUGUUAUGAAAGAGUCUUUGAGCUGUAAGAAGAAAAAGGUAUAUGGAGGUAGGCAGUGGGCAUAUUUAUGUAACAAUACUGGAUUUUUUUUUUUCCCCACAGAGCAGUGGUCUUAAAAAUGUCCUGAGCACAUUUCCAACACAUUGCAUUUAUUUGUAAAUCAUCAAUUGGCAUUAAUGGCAAUCCACUUUCUUAAUGAUCACCAUUUUCAAAUGUAAACUAUUAGUAUUUUCCUUCUUUUCAGUACAUUCCAUUGUAAUGCAUACCCUACUUUGGGCCUGCUGCUUUAUGGAGUAUAAAUAACAAGAAGAAAUGUUAAAUCAGCACAUGUUAUGGGACAAAAUUUGUACUUUAGAGGUAAUGCUCCUGAACACUAGAGAAGGCCUGAGGUGUGUUAGGUGGGAAAGACAACUGAGUAACCCCUGUUAGAGAUGUGUCCUAGAUUAAGGUCGUAUUAGUGGUCUAGACAGGGGACAAUUGGUUGCUACAUGAUGAGUUUCAUAAAUUGGUUGUAGAGUGGAAGAAAGAAAGGCAGAGCUCAUCUGCCUAGCAAGUGGGUAGGUGCUUAGAGUGAAAAAUGGAAAUAGGAAACAGAAGGAAGAAUAACUGGAUGAAAGGAGGUAAUGAGGUAAACAUUGGACAUGUACUUGAAGUGUCUAUGGAACAGACAGGUGGUGAUUGAUGUUGGAGAUUAGAUAUAUGGUUCUGAUGCCCUGGACAGAGGUCUAGGAUGGAGAGAGGUUAUCUCAGAGUCAUGAGAAUCAGAUCAGUAUAAACUCUGUAGUGAAUGUGACUGUGCACAGAGAAAAACAGACAGGGAAGAGAAGCAGUUAGCAUCUGUGGAAAAUUGGUCAAGACUGGUAGAUGAAGAGGAGUUUUAUGAGAAAGAUAAGAAAACCAGACAGAGUACCACCUUGGAUUCAAGAAUAGAACAUCUCAAGAAUGGAUUAGCAUAAGCGUCUCCGUCUCCUGCACCCACAUACAAAAAUUAGAAGAAACUAAAAAGAUAAGAAUAAAUCUAUAGCGCCACAUUGGAGAGGUUUCCACUGGCAGGGCACAGUUUGUAGGAAUUGCUGGCAGACAUGCAUAAAACAUAAGGACCAGAGAGGAAUGUAAAAUCUCAGUUUUCUGUACAAGUCUGCAAGCAAAUCUCUGUUCUAAAAACCUCACAAAACAGGAAGUCUAAUCACAAAAUAACAAUGUGAUCUACCCAUUCUGCUUCCCACCUGAUCACUACAAAACCUUGGUCACUGGAGAUGAUCAAGGUUUUUCGAUGUCUGCUUCUUGACUCACAAUUUAGAUCUCCAAUCAGUGUCUAGACAAGAUAGAUUCAUUCAAGUAUUAUAUUCCCACUUAAAUCAAGGUAAUACAUUUCUGUUCCAGAAGUAUUUUUUUUUAAGACGACUGAGGAACGAGAUGGUGAAUGAUAAACGCAAUCAAUAUGUGAACAUUGGCUACAUCUAGAAGGUGCACUUGGGGAAGGCUUAUGUUUAUAUGGUUGGAAUAAGAGAAACUGGGAACAGGGCUGCAACUAGGAGGAGGCAGGUGAGGCACCUACGGUACAAAAUUUAGGGAUGGGCAGCCCUGACAGUAUUCAAAUUUUGUACCUAGGCCACUUGCUUGCUCUACUGGAGACCAGUAUUCUAUCCAUGUCUGCCAGCAGUUCCUACAAACUGUGGCCUGCCAGUGAAAACCUUGAUGGAAGCAAGUUCCAAUAUCCAGAAAAUUUAAGGCUAGGGAAGCAAAUGUUCGUGUAACCUAAAACCAAGUUAUUUCAGUAAGAAAGGAAAUAUCAUCUCACCUGAGGCAUGGCUUUAAGAAUUUGCCUUCUCUUUUGAGCUCUCCUUUUGGACAAGGGAAGAGUCCUGAGAAGGGAGAGAUGGGAGGAUAUAGAGCCUUGUGAAUCCAUAUUUGACGUAGAUCUCCCAGAAUAACUCAGUGUCUGUGUUAAAUCUGUGUCAACUGUCACAGUUUCAGCACUUGCCUACUCUGUGGACCCCACACAAAUUCAGGAUGGAGAUUAGUGAGAAAAUAAACAAAUCCUGCUCCCUUACCAAUGCCAGAAACCUGGUUUCGUGGUCAGGAAGAUAUCUGUUGUAACUUGGAGAGAGGGAACACUGUGUUUUCCCCCUCUGUAGCUGUACCUUCCAUCUCCCAUGGAAGACAGAUUUAUCAUACAUUUCCAAAUCAUUCUUCAUGGAUUUUCUGUGAAUUUAUACUGUCACCAGCAGUGCAUGACAAUACAUCUCUCCAUCCUAUGAAUGCAGUUGACAAUAACUUCAAUUUCUGCCUACCAGAUAUAUAGUAUAGUUCUAAUUUACACAUUUCUUACUAUGAGUAUAAGCUCCUUUAAUUUCUUUUCUGUGAUAUCUUAGAGUAUGUCUAUUUUUCUCAUGUUUAUUUUGUAAUUGGGUGACAUUAGCUUUUAUUUUAAUUAAAUAAAUUAACCCUUUAAGUUGCAAACAGUUUUUCUCAUUCAUAUAUCAGUGUUGAAAGUGCUAGUUGUGAGUAAAAAUUGUUUGCUUUUUCCUGCAUACUACCCAUGGAACGCUACUCAUUUCAGCGUAUUGGUUUUAGUUCAUGUAAUGUUUCCCUGUGAUGAAUCCCACCAUCUGGGAAUUAUGAGAUCUUAUCUAUUCCUUUCCAAUACUCAUACCUCUAUUUCAUAUGCUAAACUGCUAUUGAGUUACAAUUUUGGAGGCAGGCUUAAUGACCACUAUUCAGAAAAUCAAAUCUUACAUACCCAACUAGCGGUCAUACAGUUUCUCAAUCACAAAACCAUCACAAAUCGUAACAGUAGGUUACAAACACGCAGAAUUACAUUCAAUCACUUCCUUCAGAAAAGCACCAUCCCGCGGCACCCACAUGCCAUUCACAAUCUCAGACAGCACAUUUCAUAAUUUCAUGCAAAGUCACAAAAACCACAGCACAAACCAUUUAGCUUCUCUAUCGUCACCUGCGGUGUCAAACACGAUUCACAUACAAUCUGAAGAGAGACACAGGCAGAGGAAUCCCCACGCAGCAACAAGACUCCGUCCACUUUCACACACAACCAGCCGCAGCAUCCCAGAGAGUAGGAUGCACCCAAAAUGCAGCAGGUUGGGCACAGGAGGCCGUCUCCAUUUGGUACACACACACACACAACACCCGCUGUGUGAGGCCCCGCUCCUGGCAGUGUAGCUUCCUUGGGGUCAAAACAGACAAAACCUCCCCUAGGAAAACUCGCUCCAGGUCACAGUCGUUUAUCACCCUCAGGGUCACGCCCACGGACCACGCCCGAGGCCCCGCUCGCACAGAUCUGUCUGGUUACUACGGGCCCGGUUCCGGUUCCCUCCUCAGAAUUACCAGGCCCACUCGGACUCUCGGCUUCCUCCCCGGACUUCCCACCGGGUCCCGCUUCUCUAGUCUGCCCUCCAGGGCUAGAGAUCCCACUUCCCGCUUCCUGGUCAAAGCCCCCAGGACCUACGAACCUCACCCCGAGCCGAGGCUCAGUCGACUGCGCCUGCGCACUCCCGCGUGGCUGGCGCUCCCAGGAGUCCACGGGGCGGCGGGUUAGGAGCCGCGCGGUCCCAGCUGCGGGCGGUCGGGUUUGCUCGUGUCAGCGUCCGCGCUUUUCCGGUUUUGACUGCGUUUCUCACAGGCCCUGGGGACUAAUGAACUUCGGCUUCUGGUUCAUUUUCCGCUAGCAUUGAGAUCACAGUUUUCCGUGUGUUCUCACCUCUGUGGUCUCUGUGCUUCUCUAAGAGGGAAACCUUGAAGAGUAUUGACAAGUACUCAACCAUUUUUAACCAUGGCUUUGGGAUGGGUAACAUUCAGGAAAGCAGCCCGAGACCUCUCUCAAGAGGAAUGGGAAUAUCGGGUUCUGCUCUGAGGGAGUUGUACUGGGAUGUGAUGAUGGAGAACAGCAAGUUGGUCCCACGGGGUAAGCUGUCUACCUCAAAUAAUUUAAAUAUUCGCUCUGGAAUAUCAAGACUAUCUUUUAAGAAACAGCAUCAGAAAAAAGGAAGGGAAAAGAUUUUCAAGGACUCUACACAGAAAACUAUAAAAUAUUAUUUAGUGGAAUUAAAGACAAAACAGGAGGAGGGAUAGAUCAAGUUUGUGAAUUACAAGAUUCCAUGUUUCUAAAAUGUCAGUUCUCCUCUAAUUAAUGCCAUAGAUUCAGUGUAAACCCAGUCAACAACCAAGCAGACAUUUUGUAUGUGUGAUCAUUGACGGAGUAGUUCUAGGACUACAGAAGCAUUGCAAAGGGCCAAGAAUAGCCAAAACAAUCUUGAAAAUUAAAUUUCCAAGACAUCAAAACUUACGAUAAAGCUGCAGUGAUUAUGACACCGUGGUAUUGCAUCAAGGAUUGGCAGAGACCAAUGGAACAGAAUAGAGUGAAAAAUCAGACCCACGCACGUGGUCACUUGACCUAUGACAAAGGUGGCACUGCAGAACAGUGGGAAUAAUACACUCUUCUCAAUAAAUGGUACCGAGUCAACUGGAUUACUCAGAUGCCCUUUCAGGCCUGAGGUACUCAUUGUUCCGGUGGCUGGGAGAGUUAGAUGGCUGCUCACUGCUCACAGCUGCCUCUCCUCCUGGGAAUUUCCCGUAGCCAAAGAAAGCAGCUUCUUCCAAGAUGAUUCUCUCUCCCUGAGGAUACUCCUACAUCAAUGACUGGUCAACGCAAGUAUGGAAAGUCCUGACCCUUCCUGGAUUGGCCUCUCAAGGACCAUUCUAGUUUAAGAGUUCCCCUUGGGAACAGCUUAGGUCAUGAAAGCAACUGCAUCCUCAAACUUAAGUCUCCCUCCACCCCAUCUAACUCCGUAUACUCCCUCUCAGAAGUUUACCCCAGUAAAACUUCUGCAUACAAAUCUUAGAGUCCCAGAUUCUGCUUCCUAGGGAACUCAACCUGGAACACACUGGAAAAAAUUAACCUUGACACUACCUCAUACCUUACAUACAAUUAAUUCCAAGUGAUAGUUUAUCUAAUGUGAGUCAUAAAAGAUAAAAUUUCUAUGAGAAUCUAACAUAACCAAGCCCCCACUACUUUGGAGUUGAAGAAAGAUUUCUUAAACAAGACACAAAAGCACUUAUCAUACAAAAAAAAGGCUGAUAAAUUGGACCACAUUCAAAUUAAGAUGUUCUGUUUAUCAAAGGAUACAAUUUAGAGUAAAAAGUCAAGCCACAAAUUCAGGGAAGAUAAACACAAUGCCUAUAAGCCACAAAGGAUUUGUAUAAAAAAAUACAUAAAGAAAGACCAAAAAAUCAAUAAGAAGAUAGAAAAAUCCAAUAGAAAAAAAGAAAAGGGUAAGAGGUUUGAAUGGGUACUUCCCACUCCCCAAAAGAUAUCAAAAUAGCCAGCAAACAAAUGAAAGGGGAUUCAAAGUUAUUAAUACUCAGAGAAUGCAAAUUAAAACCACAAUUAAAUAUUCACCUCAAACCCACUGGAAUGGCAAGAUUAACACUACCAGGUGUUGGUGGAAAAUGUAGAGCACCUAGAAUACUCAGACACAGCCUGAAGAAACUUGUGUUACAUAGUCUAAUAAAAUUGCAUACUUGCAUGUAUGUCUCUUUUAGGAAUAGCCCCAACAGAAAUGAGAGGACGUAUAUAUCAAAACACUUACGUGUAAAUGCUCAUAGAAAUGUUAUUCAUAAUAACAAAAAAUUAGAAUAGUCCAAAUGCCUGUUAAUUUUUAUAGACAAUAAAAAAAAAACAAGGCAAGGAAAAUAGAGUCAAAACAGAGGAAGCGUAAUCAGGAAGUGCCUGAAAAGCAAUGAAAUUAUGUUGAGGUAGAGGAUCUAAAAAUUAGGACAGUCUUGAAUAAGAGAAUGGCAAAGGGGGAUAAAAAUUUAACAUUUUAGAUAUGGUGUCUCAAACAAUUAAAGAAUUAUUAACACUUGAUUUAUUUAUAGAAAUGUAUAUAAUUCAUUCCUUCCACUAACUAGAGUAUUAUACACACCCAGCUUAUAAAUUGAAAUGAGCCAAACACCAAGAAAGUAAUGCAUCCCGUUACUGGGAUCUCUGCUCCUCUGAGUUGUUCAGCACAGUAGCAGCGCACCAGAAACUUGCACCACGACCACCAGCCUGCUAGCAGGCAGCUGUCCUGAAUGUAGGCCCAUGAUAGUUAAUUUUAUAUAUCAACUUGCCUGGGCUAUAGUGUCCAGAUAUUUGGUCAAACGUUGUUCUUGAUGUUUCUUGUGAGGGUGUUUUUUGAAUAAGAUGAAUAUUUAAUUGAUGGACUUAGAGCAAAGCAGAUUGCCCUCCAUCAUAUAGGUGGGUCUCAUCUAAUCAGUCAAAGGGCUCAAUAGAACAAACACCCCACCCCCCACCCUACAUCUCCCUACCCCAGCAAGACGGAAUUCCGCCAGUAGACUGUCUUUGGUCUUGAACUGCAACUCUUUCUGGAGUCUCCAUUCUGCCAACCUAUUCCAUCAGAUUUUGGACUCACAAAGCCUCUUACAAUCAUGGGAACCAAUUCUUUAAAAUCAACAGAUCAAACUCUCAGUCUCUCUCUGUCUCCCUCUCUCUCUUCCUUUCUCUCCCUCCCUUUCUACCCCCCCCCCCACACACACAUGCAUGCACACACACCCCGUCUUGUUUUCCAGAAAAGCCUGACUAACACAAGGCCUAAUAUCUGGGAACAGCCAGUUCCCCCACCUGGAUGAGCCUGGCAUGAAUAUUACUAGCUUCCUGGUCCUAAGUGCAGCCUGCCUCUUCAGUCCUUCUAUGCUCUCUGAAACUCACAGUCUUAAACAUAUCCUUUCCUCCCAGUCUUUCAAACUCUACCAUUUCCUCUGUGUCUUUACAGGGACCAAGCUGAAGACUCUCUGCAUUUGGGGACAGAGUCAUGUGUCUGUGCCAGGCUCUGGCUCCCCACUGAGCUUCCGUGUCUGCUCUGACAUCCGCUUCUCCUCUGAGCUGGCUUGUCCUAUCCUGAGUGUCCCCUGACACCUCAGUCUCUUCAGGAUCCUUUCCGUUGAGUUUCUAUUGAACAGGUUGAAACUGUCCAUAAAAGAAACUCUUCUAUUUAGUGUCAAAAGCAUCUCAGAUUUCAAUUUUUUUCUUUAAUAAAAGCACAUUCCCCAAGGUCAGUCAGUCUCGCUCAGCGCUGCUACUCAACAAGACAAAUAUUCUAAGGUUACAGUUUCUUCCCUCUGGCUCACUCCAAGAAAUCCUUUGUGGCCCUAAGGUUGAUUCACUACCUGAUCAUUCUUCAGCUUAGAAUCACUCAAGGGCUUAUAAAGACAUGGUCUCAGGCCCCCGUUCCCAGAGUUUUUGCCUCAGUAUUUCUGGGUGGGGCCUGGGAGCUUGCAUUUCUAACAUGUUCCCAGGUCAGGCUGAGGCUGUGGGUCCAGGGACCACACUUUGAGAACCACUGUUCUGGCUCUAGUUCUUUAAGUGCUGCCUCCUGUGCCUGUUCCUCCAUUGACUACCUGUAGUCCCUAAUUCUUUUAUAGAUAUCUCUCCUGGUCCACGAUGAAACUUGGAGGGGUAAAGGGAAUGGGAGCUCUCACAGGCUUCCACUGCAGGGAUAGGCCAAAAUAAGGGGGAAUUCAAUUCAACAUUGCAAACACUUUUUUUUUUUUUUUUUUUGAGUGGCUGCUGUGUUAUAAAGCACUGGCGGGGAGGGGUUAAAGAGAUAAAUGAGUUUCUGUUCUCAAGAAACUUAACAUGUAACAAAGCGAAAGCCCAGCAUAGCACUAACUAUAGGAGAAGGAAACAUGUAUUAUAUUACAGUACAUUCCAAAGCCCUUAGGACUACAGCCAACACUGUUGUUCUACCAAGCAUGUUCCCUAGGCCGACCCCACAGGUCAAGGGCAGACUUUUUCUCAGGGUCAUGAAAGUUCAGGGUCAACAAGUCCACAAUCCUGAGGGAGCAUCUCCUUAAAUUUCACAUCCUGAGGGUCUCGCUAUCCUCCUACCAGUGUUGGCAUGCCAGAGGUCACAAAAGAGUUCUACAGCUGCUGAUGGAUUCCAGCCUUUCUCUCCAUACAGGUAUUUUCUACCAGAGGAGUUGGCCAGGCGGGUCUGAACCACACAUACAGUUGGUGAUGGAGCCAAGAGCUCAUGAAGUGACAAUGCAAAGUGCAUAGAGCAAGAAAGAGCAGAGGGCCUAAGGCUGAUAUGUGAGGAAUGUCAGCCUUCCAGGGAUGGGAUUUAGAAAGCUAAGUGGGAAGAAAAGCGGGACAGUUGGAGAUCGUCUUUGAUGCCUGAUUGAAGUGUGUUAGAUGUGGACUUGCUUUCGGGAAGCUUCCAGGCUAGUAGGGAAAACAAGAUAACUAUUCUAGGACCAAGCACUAAAUCAGCGUUAAGGAGAGAGUGUAACAAAGAGGGAUAAGCUAAGGCUUGCCUUCACUUGGGCAAUAGGAUCCUCAGUUCUUCCAUUUAACAUUGUUGACAGUGAUGUUGAUUGCAGAGUGUUUUUAUGAAAAGUACAUAAAAUAAACUCCUAAGCACAGUCGCUGGCUCACAGUAAUCAUUCCCUAAGUUGUUUUUAUUGUAAUUUCUGUAGUGAUUCUGUUGCUGGUAGUGAUGAGUCAAGUUUCCAAGAAAGAGAGGGAGUUGUGGGCUGCGCUGGGGGUGAUGGGUGAUGGACAAUGGGGAGUUGGAAGAGUCGGAACAUUGAGCAGGAUUCACCUGCCUCCUGGGACAGGACACGUGAGCAAGGAGCAAGGUCGGUGAUUGUCAAAGUGUAGGAACGGGCCGGAGGAUCAGUUGGUUCAGAGUGUGUACUGCGUGGGGGUUGAGGCAUUAAUAGUAUGUUUGUUUUUUGUAACUAAGAAUGGUGGAAGAUGGCAACCAGACUUAUGUGGUGAUCGUUUCACAAUGUAUACAAAUAUUGAAUUACUAUGUUGUGCAUCUAAAACUAAUAUGUUUUAUGUCAAUUAUAUCUAAUUUUUUAAAAAAGGAGUAGAUAGGGUCCGCACUAUGAAUCUUGGGAUAGGAAGCUUGGGCUUUGUCCUAGAGUUCAUCAAGAACCUCUGAAGAUUGAUGACAAAAAUUAACAUAUUAUUGAAAACAAUCUUUUAGUGGGAUUAAUUUAUAAAUUGCAAGUAGUAGUUGGGGAGAGUGAUGCCACGUAGUUCAGCAUGUCAAAUAUGAGAUGAUGCAAUGUUAGUAGUGGAAAUGGAAAGAGAAUAUUCAAGACAAAUGCAAAAGAAAACAUCAAUUUAAAAGAGAAGACAAAGGCUUUAGGGUUAGAUAUGAAGGUGUGGGCAGAAGCAGAGGCAACUCUUUCCUUCAUACCUGGGCUUCCUACCCGGUCAGGUCUCUUAGAGAACAUUUGUAUUAACCUGCUUGUGCUUCCAUAAUGGAAUGCCCGACUGGGUGGCUUAAACAAGACAUUUAUUUUCUCAUAGUUCUGAAAUGCAAAAAUUCAAGAUCAAGGUGCCAUCACGGAUGGUUUCUGGUGAGAACUUUGUUCCUGGCUUACAGGUGGCUCCCUUCUCACUGAGUCCUCACCUGGCCUUUCUGCUAUGCCCUCACUGUGAGACAGGGGUCCCUUCUCUUCUUAUAAGGAAGCCAGCCCUAUUGGAUUAGGGUCCCAUGCUGUGAUCGCAUUUAACUGUAAUUCUCUCUCUAAAGGCUCUGUCUUCAAAUACAGUCACAUUGUGGUGGGGGGACUAGAGCUUCAUCAUAUGAACCUGGGCCGGGGGUGGUAGGGGACCCUACUCAGCCCGUAGCAGUGGUGUCAUAUGCUACAUGAGACAAAGGAAGUAUGAAGUUUGAGCUAACGGAGAGGAAAAUAGUUUUGGCAUUAAAUGCAAUGGUUGGUUAAUCUAUAGAGCCAUCCAGAAUAACAUUCUGUAAUGACAAAAAUGUUCUGUGUCAGCAUUGUUUGUUACGGUAGCCGCUAGUCACAAUAUGACAACUGAGCAUUUAAAUGUGGCUAGUGAGUCCGAGGAAGAGAGAUUUUAAGUAUAUAGAAUUUCAGUUUAAACUGUAUUGAACAGCACAAAUUAGAACUACAGGAACCCUAGGCAGCGUAAGGAGGUUUUAUCAAUAUUUAGGUAUCUAAGGCUUCUCCUAGGCUGUAAGGCCUUGUACUCUAGAUACUCAACUUCCAACCACCUCUUGUCAGCCAAGAAAACUCUGAAGCUCUGAAAAGAUAUAUGACUGUUCCAGGUUGACACAGCUGGUUACUAGACCCUAGAUCAUCAGUUAGGGAUUAAAUAUUUUUAUGGCAGCAGUCAUGCCAUUAGAAAUGCUUAACAGGCAGCUGGAGAUAAAUAGCUGUUUGUCAAGGACUGAGAUCAGUGCUGGGGAGUCAGUGCAUGGGUGUGAAAAUGUGGCCGUGAAAAUGGAUACAACAUACAAAGAAAAGAACAUGGGGCUCCACGUCAAGCCUUGAUAAAUACUGACAUGUAAAUGGAAGGAAAAUAAAAACAAAGCAUAAAAGGAAAUAGAUUUUCAUCUGCCAAUUUUAUACCAACAAUUAGAUAGCCCCAGAUCGCCACCUCCUCAACAUGCUCACAAUUCAUCUCAGACAGGUGGGCACAGUUAAAGAGCAAGAGCCCUUGCUGCCCGCCUCCCCGCCACGAGAGAGCUGGCUGCCCACAGCAAGGCACUUAACCUCUCUGUGUUCCAUCUCCUCCUUUGUCAAAUGGGGUUGAUGACAAGACUUCCGUCAGAAUGCUUUUGAGAUAAAGUGAGAUGCAUGUACAGUACCAGCAAAGCCCUGGCGCAUAAUACAGAUUCUUUAAAUUUUAGAUUGAAAAAAAACUUGUCUCGUCCCCAAUCUUAUUCCUCUUCCCGUGUCCCUGAUCUAGGCCAAGAGCCUUGCCCUUCAGCUAGUUGUUCUCUCUGGAAAUCUGAGUCAUCUUUGAUUCCUUCUUCUCCCUUAAUCACCACAUCCAGUAAUUCACCAAGUGUUAUUGAUUCUAGCUGCUCCGUCUUUCAGAUACAGCCACCUCUCUGUAUGCCCUCCACUACAGCUCUCACACACGUCUUCUGCACUUUCUGAAAAAAGCAUCCCUGUUUCCAAUAUGUUUGCUAUACCCAUCCAUUCUCUACACCAGGAUGGGAUUUCUACACCAUAGGAUCUCCAGAGUGGGAUUUUGAAACCUUGAGGUGUCCAGGGGAAGAUUUUAAACCCCAAGUCAUUUUGCAGCCUUCCCCAGCAGUUUCUUUUUGCAGACAGGAUUAAGUUGACAUUCCUCAGCAUGGCACUCAAGACCAUUCACAGCCCACCUGCAAACUACCUCUGUUUACAUAUUUCACCUUUUACUUUGAACCAAGAAUACAUAAAUAGGAACCCAUGCAUUUUAAAAGUUCAAAUGAAUAAUAGUCUUGUGACUCAGUGUGGACCUGGGAGGAAGAAGCAGGGUUUGUUUUUGUUUUUCAGAUUGACGUCUAGGGGAAAAUGCAAAAUUCCCUGUCAAACCUUGCAGAGAGAUUCCUUACCAGCACCUCCUGUUAUUAGGUACUAUUCCAACCCAGCCUUGUGAUUUUCUUCUCUCAUUUUUCAUGGUAGGGAGGUUCCUUUUUCAGUGCCUACAGCUUCAAGCCUGCCUCCUGGAACACACGCUGCGUGUAAUGUGGAUCGUUCCUAGUCUAUGUGAGAAUGAAGUGAAGAGCCCCAUAAAAUAAAGGAUCCCAUUGAAUUGGUUGCA
This is an RNA transcript of Camelus dromedarius (Arabian camel), 17488 nucleotides long. It is a transcript of the gene named zinc finger protein 529, with no coding region annotated. Lineage: Eukaryota; Metazoa; Chordata; Mammalia; Artiodactyla; Camelidae. The transcript has 5 exons. The record is from RefSeq and is a predicted model, not a curated record.